RNAcentral lists this transfer RNA (73 nucleotides) under Agrilus planipennis (emerald ash borer). It matches the Rfam family "tRNA". Rfam says of the family: Transfer RNA (tRNA) molecules are approximately 80 nucleotides in length. Their secondary structure includes four short double-helical elements and three loops (D, anti-codon, and T loops). Lineage: Eukaryota; Metazoa; Arthropoda; Insecta; Coleoptera; Buprestidae. The record is from Rfam by way of RNAcentral.
CCUUUCGUAGCUUAGUGGUCUGAGUACCGGUGUGUAAAGCCAAAGGACCUGGGUUCGAUUCCCGGCGAGGGCC